UUACUCUUGUUUCCCUUCAAGACGUAUAAAUCUUUCGCCUUUUACUAAAGAUUUCCGUGGAGGGGAACACUAAAUGAGUCUAUAACCAAUUUUUUGUAGUGCUCGGCUUUUGCUGAGCC
Small nuclear RNA from Schistocerca nitens (vagrant locust), 119 nucleotides. RefSeq annotates it as U5 spliceosomal RNA. Lineage: Eukaryota; Metazoa; Arthropoda; Insecta; Orthoptera; Acrididae. The record is from RefSeq and is a predicted model, not a curated record. The transcript has a single exon.